This 535-nucleotide ribosomal RNA is filed under the name Penicillium citrinum. Its description in RNAcentral is "eukaryotic LSU rRNA". The stretch from base 162 to 315 matches the Rfam family "5.8S ribosomal RNA". Lineage: Eukaryota; Fungi; Ascomycota; Eurotiomycetes; Eurotiales; Aspergillaceae. The record is from RNAcentral.
GUGACUGCGGAAGGAUCAUUACCGAGUGCGGGCCCCUCGGGGCCCAACCUCCCACCCGUGUUGCCCGAACCUAUGUUGCCUCGGCGGGCCCCGCGCCCGCCGACGGCCCCCCUGAACGCUGUCUGAAGUUGCAGUCUGAGACCUAUAACGAAAUUAGUUAAAACUUUCAACAACGGAUCUCUUGGUUCCGGCAUCGAUGAAGAACGCAGCGAAAUGCGAUAACUAAUGUGAAUUGCAGAAUUCAGUGAAUCAUCGAGUCUUUGAACGCACAUUGCGCCCUCUGGUAUUCCGGAGGGCAUGCCUGUCCGAGCGUCAUUGCUGCCCUCAAGCCCGGCUUGUGUGUUGGGCCCCGUCCCCCCCGCCGGGGGGACGGGCCCGAAAGGCAGCGGCGGCACCGCGUCCGGUCCUCGAGCGUAUGGGGCUUCGUCACCCGCUCUAGUAGGCCCGGCCGGCGCCAGCCGACCCCCAACCUUUAAUUAUCUCAGGUUGACCUCGGAUCAGGUAGGGAUACCCGCUGAACUUAAGCAUAUCAAUA